UGCCAGCAGCCGCGGUAAUACGGAGGGUGCAAGCGUUGUUCGGAAUUACUGGGCGUAAAGCGCACGUAGGCGGAUUUUUAAGUCAGAUGUGAAAUCCCGAGGCUCAACCUCGGAACUGCAUUUGAAACUGGGAAUCUAGAGAUCAGGAGAGGUUAGUGGAAUACCGAGUGUAGAGGUGAAAUUCGUAGAUAUCGGGAGGAACACCAGUGGCGAAGGCGGCUUCCUGGACAUUAACUGACGCUGAGGUGCGAAAGCGUGGGGAGCAAACAGGAUUAGAUA
Molecule: ribosomal RNA, 279 nt
Filed under: uncultured bacterium
Lineage: Bacteria
Description: partial 16S ribosomal RNA
Rfam family: Bacterial small subunit ribosomal RNA
Source: RNAcentral